GACGAACGCUGGCGGCGUGCUUAACACAUGCAAGUCGAACGGAAAGGCCCUGCUUUUGUGGGGUGCUCGAGUGGCGAACGGGUGAGUAACACGUGAGUAACCUGCCCUUGACUUUGGGAUAACUUCAGGAAACUGGGGCUAAUACCGGAUAGGAGCUCCUGCUGCAUGGUGGGGGUUGGAAAGUUUCGGCGGUUGGGGAUGGACUCGCGGCUUAUCAGCUUGUUGGUGGGGUAGUGGCUUACCAAGGCUUUGACGGGUAGCCGGCCUGAGAGGGUGACCGGCCACAUUGGGACUGAGAUACGGCCCAGACUCCUACGGGAGGCAGCAGUGGGGAAUAUUGCACAAUGGGCGGAAGCCUGAUGCAGCAACGCCGCGUGCGGGAUGACGGGCUUCGGGUUGUAAACCGCUUUCGCCUGUGACGAAGCGUGAGUGACGGUAAUGGGGAAAGAAGCACCGGCUAACUACGU
RNAcentral lists this ribosomal RNA (467 nucleotides) under uncultured bacterium. Its description in RNAcentral is "partial 16S ribosomal RNA". It matches the Rfam family "Bacterial small subunit ribosomal RNA", at positions 28 to 506 of the family's 1533-position model. The record is from RNAcentral.